UCCCGAUCACUGUGUCCAAUGAGUGUUAUUUUAGCCCUGUUUUACAGAUGGGGAAACCGAGGCAUACAGCAGUCAAAUCCUUUGCCCAAAGUCACACAGCUAGUGAAAGUCCAUGCCUGGAUUCCAGCCCCAGCCUGUGUGACCCCAGAUGAUGUGUGCCAUCUAUCCCCUUGGGUCUUUGCUGUCAAAUGUCAACGGGGACCUCAGCCAUGCCCACCUCGAUGGCACAGUGAGAUGGUGAAGGGUUCCGAAUGACAAAUUGUAAAAGCACAAGUCCUGAUGUUCUCUUCUCUGUGAGAGACUCCUAACUCUGCAAGCUCAUGACAGGCCCAGGCUGAGACCGUGGGGCCCAGCUGUCCCCGACACUGCCAGCUGCUUUAGUAGCUUUGGCCUGUUUUUCCCUCUUCGUACCAGGUGCCCUUUGCGCCUGCCCAUCCCGCAGAGCCUCGUCCUACAGGGGACCUUCGUGGCUGACAGGCAACACCAGCGCUAUUCCCUGGAGACAAGGGUUGUCCUGAACGGCCAAGAGGAAACCCUGCAGACUGUGGUCCUGGGCUAUCACGCUGGACAACCCUAUGUCUGUGCAUGUCUGAUGCAUCCAUACGAUGGCAAAGCCAUCCCCAGGAACACAGAGGGGUGCCUGGUUACUUGGAAUCAGCACAAGGUAAGAGUGGAGGCCCCAGAGACCUUUGCACCCCAGCCAGCCCUGGUUCAAGUUGCUGUCAUCUCUCAAUAGGAUUAGAAAUAUGUACUAUGGGCUGAGUGCAGUGGCUCACACCUGUACUCUUAGCCACUCAGGAGGCUGAGGUGGGAGGAUCUCGUAAGGCCAGGAGUUUGAGAGCCAUCUGGGCAACAUAUGGAAACCCUGUUUUCUACAAA
Long non-coding RNA from Sapajus apella (tufted capuchin), 879 nucleotides. RefSeq lists it as uncharacterized. Lineage: Eukaryota; Metazoa; Chordata; Mammalia; Primates; Cebidae. The record is from RefSeq and is a predicted model, not a curated record. The transcript has 2 exons.